CGGAAGUAAAUAGCUCAACUAGCACAAAGUCAAAAUGAAGAGACUCAAAGGCAGACGUGCUUUGGCAGCUAGCUCCAUACGUGCAUGAGGGUGGUACUUACUGCACAAAAGAAAAGCUCUUAUGUUUUGCUGUACCCAAUGUGCACAAAAACCACACCAAAGCAAGGUAAGCACCAAGAUUUUCACAAGCUGUCUGCGUUUGGCAAAAAAACACAACAGUGGCAUCUCGCUGACCCGGCCAAACAAGGGGCCGCAAGCAGAUAGCCACACAAUGGCGCCACAGUGCAAGGCCCUGGCCGAGACAAAAGAAGCCGGCGAGCGAGAAACAUUCUCACUUGUUCAUCACGUCCCCCUAAUCAGCCGCAAACACUCGUCAGUUUCUGCUCCACUUCCUCUUCGCCCGUCUUGACACCAAAAGUAAGAAUACUAUACAAAUGGUGUGUAUGUGGUGGUUUUACACAUUGCAGAAUAUUGUAGCAUCCUCUGAGUACUAUGGAAUGGCAGCUGAAUGGAGGCUUCUUCUCGCUGGUGGAGAUGCAACAUGUGGCCGCCCUCUAUGGUCAAGGGUUAAUUCAAUCGGGUCAAGUUUUCGGAUCCCAGUGGCCAGACGCCAGCCGGUGUUUCUUUGAGGGGUGUGAGGUUGAGGGGGUUUCAUGCUGUCACAACAAACAAAAACUUUUGCAGACCUCCAGUGAAGCAGAUGGUCUUCCAUUUUCUUGCUCACAUUCCCAAACAGGGAAGUCUCAGAUUGCUGGAUUGCAUCUAAUCCUAAAUGUCUUAAAUGACGCCAGCUAAUCUGAUAAAUGGAUUUAUCAUAAAAUAAAUGCACAUUUAACCGCAUACAAUAGUAAAAUCAAGAACGAGACCCCACAUUAAAAAGAACAAUAAUCAGAAAAAAAGGGGGAAAAUAAUUAUAACAGAAGAACGAAACCAGACAUGAAUAAGAUCAACAAAAUAAUACAAAGGACACCAACAAAUAUAAAUAAGAAAAAAAUAGAGAACAACACGUAACAAGAAUUGCAAAGAACCAAAAGAGGAAUAAGAACAAAAUGAACAACCACAAUACUAACGCAGGGGGCCCUGGAACCUUUCUGAGCAGCCCUGGCUAACACCAAAAAUAUAAAUGACACGAAAAAAUAUAAUAAUUAAUGUAUUUAACAUUUUAUGCUGAGCAUCUUGUCUGGUAUCGGUUCCCUAAAAACACAAAACAGCUGUGAACACCAUUUACUGACGUCCAACUCAGUUCAUCGAUAAUCACAACCCAAAUUAAACAUCCAUUAAUUUACAUUUUUACCUGAAAUGCUUUUCAAUCAUCUGUGGAUGGGGGGAAAAAAUCGGAAUGUGUGUCGUCUGCUGUUACCACUCCGCCGCGACUAGGACUGUUAGCAUCGUUAGCAUGUCGUACGCUACCCCCCACCCCAACCUCCGGGUGAACAGACGCGAUAACAAGGAGGGAAAAAAACACCCACCUUGGUGCCUUGCUGGCGGCACUGCGUCAAGCCGCGAUGCCCACACGCGAUUACACUCCGAUUUGACGCCGAGAGAAGAGCAUUCAGUCGGCUAGAAAAGACAGCAUCACUCGACGGUACUUCGAAUGGUUCCGAGCUAAUGGGGCUAACAGCUAGCCCCCCACUUAACUCCAAACUGGCCGUGUGGGCUCAUAUCGGCAACAAA
Syngnathus typhle (broad-nosed pipefish) is the source of this 1674-nucleotide long non-coding RNA. RefSeq lists it as uncharacterized. The transcript is spliced from 2 exons. The record is from RefSeq and is a predicted model, not a curated record. Lineage: Eukaryota; Metazoa; Chordata; Actinopteri; Syngnathiformes; Syngnathidae.